Molecule: long non-coding RNA, 1694 nt
Organism: Mizuhopecten yessoensis (Yesso scallop)
Lineage: Eukaryota; Metazoa; Mollusca; Bivalvia; Pectinida; Pectinidae
Exons: 3
Source: RefSeq, a predicted model, not a curated record
AAUACAUCCUAAUUAAAAUAUUAUAUUACAACAUUAACAUAAACAGUUAUGGAGCAUGCUUCCUAUAUAAACGUGUGUAUUAGAUUGUCAAAGUAUGACUGUAUUUAUAAGACAUUUAUUUGUGUGAUGCAAAAUAAGAAGUUUUCCCCAUGGUUUAUUGCACUACAUACGGGUUCUCGUGUGACGUAACAGUCAGCUGCACGGAGAACUGAAAGGGAAAUUAGCCAGACAGGUGGUGUCGAGAGAUUGUGGGGAAAUUGAUGAUAGUGUGCACCGUAAGGGCAUUGCCAGUCAUGGGCUAAGCCUCCGGUGGGACGCCUGACCAGGAUAUGGAAAACGAUAUGUACAGCAGAGAGAGACGGGCACUAGGGAUUGGGUGGACUUAAGCAAAAUCAGACGACAGAUGACCUUGACCUUCGUCAGGCUGAUCAGCAGAUCAACAAUACUCGUCGCAGCUAGACACACGGAACUUCCCAUAACCGCCCGUUGCAGCAUGUGUUGUCGUACUACGUCAUGUGCAACACUAUUUAUGUCAGUGCUUUAAAGUGACUGUGUGAACCCAGUGAAUUCAGGGACUUGGACCUCCAGACUGUGCUCUAAAGAUGAAGUAACGGACAUGCCUCCCACUCCGAUGUCGACGAAUGAAAUACCAGGUGUUAGCGAUAUGACGUCACCGUCCACUACAAGUUUACUGUCCACAUCUGUUGUCGUGAACGUCUCACAAACGGAACCCUCAAUAGUGUGGUCAAUAUUUAUUCUAGUGAGUGAGAACAUGGGUCCUGACCCAACUAUUCAUAAUUCCAAUGCUAUGUAUUAUUUACCUGGGAUUAUAGAGUGCGCUCUAAAAUGUCAGGAGGGCAUACACUGUGUGUCCUUCACCUUUUAUUUGGUAACGGAUGAAAUCACUGGUGGCUGCCAUCUGUAUCGAUCUGUUAUCGAGUUAGACUUAGUUUACAAAGCAGAGUCUCGAUACUUCCGGAAGGACGUUAACAUGUGAUAGUGAAUUAGUUUAUGCAUGGAAAACUCAAAAUAAUGUUAGAAAAUUACGUAGUGUGAAGCGAAGUCACUGUAAUGCAAAUAGGAUGUAAGCAUGUAAUAAUAACAUGUUGUAGUAUACAAACAUGGCCUAAAGGACAACAGAGAUAAACAUCAGAAGUAACAGUGAUUCAUUUAGUAAAAAACGUUGAUGUAAUAUUUCUAAGGACAUACUAUAGUAACAUUCAAUAGUUAAUUCAUAUAUUUAAAAAUGAUAUUCUCAGUACUUAAUAAAAAAAACAAUAAUCAACGGAUAUUGACAUUAACAAGUGACUUUGUUAGUCGAAACAUGUAGAUUGUAUACAUUGUACUUCGAAAGGGAUGUUACUAUGACAGUGGUAUUAAUAAGAUUAAAAUCAUUUCAAGAAAGCCGUUAUCAUUUUGUAGAUGCAAUAUUUCUUGAAGGACAUAAAUUAGUAUUUAGCACAUAAGGUACGGUUUAAGAACUCUCAAAACAAAAUAUUAUAACUAUAUUUUUUGAUUUCCGAAAUCAUUAUAUUUUGGAGGAUGUCAGCAACUGAUGACAAUAUAGGCCUUUCUAGGGGGUAUAACAAUGUUUCAGAUUAUAUAAUUGGGCGUAACACUUUAUAAUUAAACCUUUAGCUUAAUAUAUGGAUUUCAAAGAAUAAUUUAAAUUCAUUUGAGAUGUAAACAAAGUG